AACCUCCGCAAUGUGAGAAAUCGCGACGGGGGGAUCCCAAGUGCCAUUCUUAACGGGAUGGCUUUUCAUUAGUGUAAAGAGCUUUUGGAAUAAGAGCUGGGCAAGACCGGUGCCAGCCGCCGCGGUAACACCGGCAGCUCUAGUGGUAACAAUUUUUAUUGGGCCUAAAGCGUCCGUAGCCGGUUUAAUAAGUCUCUGGUGAAAUCCUGCAGCUUAACUGUGGGAAUUGCUGGAGAUACUAUUAGACUUGAGACCGGGAGAGGUUAGAGGUACUCCCAGGGUAGAGGUGAAAUUCUGUAAUCCUGGGAGGACCGCCUGUUGCGAAGGCGUCUAACUGGAACGAUUCUGACGGUGAGGGACGAAAGUUAGGGGCGCGAACCGGAUUAGAUACCCGGGUAGUCCUAACUGUAAACGAUGCGGACUUGGUGUUGGGGUGGCUUUGAGCUGCUCCAGUGCCGAAGGGAAGCUGUUAAGUCCGCCGCCUGGGAAGUACGGUCGCAAGACUGAAACUUAAAGGAAUU
This 521-nucleotide ribosomal RNA is filed under the name uncultured bacterium. Its description in RNAcentral is "bacterial SSU rRNA". It matches the Rfam family "Archaeal small subunit ribosomal RNA", at positions 345 to 866 of the family's 1478-position model. The record is from RNAcentral.